ACUUACAAACAAUCAGCUUCUCUUCUUGACAUGUGAAGUCUCAAGGCUCACUCUACACUAACUUAUCUAUAAUUAAUUGUUAUUAUUAUUAUGUCCCCCACACCUUUCCUCUCGCCUUUAUGAAUUUUUGAUCACACCAUAAAAUAAAUUUAAGGGUUUACACUUCACUCUGACUCUCAGAAUUUAAAACCUUCUCAUCAGAGUAGGCAAUAAUUCCCUCCCUUGUGUGUCCUCUGCUCACUCUCUAAAAUCAAACUGAACCACAAGCAGAAGCAUAAAACCCUAGUGGGUGUCUUGCGUUGUGUACAAUUUCUUCAUUUCUGUCUAUCUUUCUCACUUCUCAACUAAAAUGGGUUCAAGAAAUUUGGCUGUGGCAAUUGGGUUUGGGUUUUUGCUACUUGGAUUUGCAGUCUCAGACACACAGCAAGAUAAAACAGAAUGUGCAAGCCAACUUGUGGGUCUGUCGACUUGUCUUCCUUAUGUUGGUGGAACUGCUAAAGCUCCAACCUUGGAUUGCUGCGCUGGGCUUAAGCAAGUGCUAGAGAAAAGCAGAAAAUGCCUUUGUCUUCUAAUUAAAGAUCGUGAUGAUCCAACUAUUGGUGUCAAAAUCAAUGCUACUCUUGCUGCUACUCUUCCUAGUGCCUGCAACGCCCCUGCUAAUGUCACACAAUGCAUCGAUAUUCUGCACUUGUCUCCAAACUCGCCAGAUGCCAAGAUAUUUGCAGGAUUUGCCAACAUCACCAAAGGAAGCAACAGUACUGUUGCAAGUGGGAAUUCUACUGGAAGUGGAUCAAGUGCAGAGGAGAAGAGCGGUAGAGGAAUGGGAAAGAGAUCUAGAUGGGUUGGAGUUGAGAUGAUUUGUGGGGUUUUGCUAUGGGCUUUGACAGCUUUUGGCAUCUGAUGAUAUGAUGAAUAGAAGUGAGAUUAUCUAUGCUUUUGUUUUACAGAAUUUGUAGCUUUUAAUCUGUUAGUACUAUUUUUAUCCUCUAAUCUGUUCCUUUCCUUCUGGGUUGUUCUGUGUGAUAUUGUCUUUGGUCAUAAUACUUCCAACUGCAUUUGGGAAUUAGAGGGUGGUCCCAUAUAAAUUAAUUAUGUGGAUUUCUUAAGGAGAAUAAUUCCAUCAAGUUCAACUCCCUAAUUUCCCAUUUUUAUUAGCUAUCUCUAACUAGUUUUCUAUAAUUGCCAAAAUCUUAAGGUCAAAAAUGGCCGCCUUGUGACUAAGGG
Molecule: unclassified non-coding RNA, 1224 nt
Filed under: Hevea brasiliensis (rubber tree)
Lineage: Eukaryota; Viridiplantae; Streptophyta; Magnoliopsida; Malpighiales; Euphorbiaceae
Source: RNAcentral